GGUAUGAGUAGCCAGGAUAUUGAUAGGGGCAGUCAAGAGAAGAAUUCUACUGAAAUAAGUGAUUGGUUCUGGAAAAGGAUGUGUCAAAAUUCUUAUCUGAUGGCAGUCUAAAGUCCUGGAAGAAAGAUUUCCACUUUUUCUACUGGAUAUAGCUGUGUCUACAUGGAAUACCUGGCAAAUGGACUCAUCCAGCAACCACGAAAGAACAAGACAGAGCUGCUGAGCAAAAAGGAGAGAACCUGGGUGCAUGGAAUAUUGUCGAACCACUGUGUUAGUUAGUGGCACCCAGAAUUGCCUACCUUUGGUUUUCUUGUCAUGUAAGAAAGCCAAUCUACCCUACUGAAGAAGCAGAAGACAUGGAGACCUGAUGUGACCUAGCUGACAGCCAACACCAACACGAUAAUGAGACCACCUUGGACAGUCCAGCUGACCAGCUAGUAGAAUGCGGCUGCCUGAAUGAGCCAAGAAGGCAAAGCAGCAGACAAACCACCCUGCCAACCCACGGAAC
Symphalangus syndactylus (siamang) is the source of this 508-nucleotide long non-coding RNA. RefSeq lists it as uncharacterized. Lineage: Eukaryota; Metazoa; Chordata; Mammalia; Primates; Hylobatidae. The record is from RefSeq and is a predicted model, not a curated record.